This is a long non-coding RNA of Hirundo rustica (Barn swallow), 7041 nucleotides long. RefSeq lists it as uncharacterized. Lineage: Eukaryota; Metazoa; Chordata; Aves; Passeriformes; Hirundinidae. The transcript has 3 exons. The record is from RefSeq and is a predicted model, not a curated record.
GAGGCAUCUGUGUCGAGGUUUCCAUGUUGCGACAAGAUCUAGGACGAUCAUGGAAGAAUAUUAACUCCAGCUCAAGAGACUUAGCAGGUAAUUUUGAGAUAGAUGAUUGCUUCUGUUCCAGUGGGUCCUAAUGAUUUCCACCACAGACAGUGUCUGUUAUAGAGGUGCUACAUGAAGCAGAUGUUUUGGUUAUUUUUUUUAAAUUAUCUCUUUGAAGGCGGAGACUAAAUGCCAACUUGAAUGCAAGCCUCUUCAGUCCACUUACUGUCUUCAGCAAGGCACGUGGAUUGCUGUUGGGUAAAAGGCAAGGAGGAGCAGCAGAAGACUAUCUCAUAUUUUGGCAUCAGAAGCAAUAUUUUUAGCAUUUUGCAAUUCACUCCUGCAUUUCAUUACACUCUCUGGCCAUCCUCAGUCUACUGGGUAGACUUUGGAUCCACGCAUUGAACAUGGAGGCCCUCUUUUCAAGGGACAAGAAGUGCACUGGCUGAUCCACUUGGUCAUCUGGAAUCAUAGUUGCUAGUACAAUGUGAUAAGCUCUGUUUAGAACUGGAGGAGAAGAAUAAAAGAGAAAAUGAGGAUGUGAGGAUAUCAGUCUCCUGGUGCCGUGUAUACUUUCACUGCACAGGUGGAACACCAGAGCUCAGACUGUUAAUUUGUGACAUGUCUAAUCCCCCUUUGUGCAUCAAACGCUGGACAUCUCAAAGUGAUGGCACCCAGCAUUCCAGGCCACUUCUAAAAAUACCAGCUCUGUAACUUCCCUGUGCCUCAGUUUGCCCAGCUGAGAAAGGGGCAGAUGAUGCGUCCAUGAUUAAGUUUAAUGUAUUCAUUUUUUAAGUGCUUGGGGAGCUGCACUAGAAAGAAGUUUUAUUGUGUGAGAGCAAUAAAUGAUAGAAUUACAGAGAAUGUUAUUUGAUCUGCUAAUCUCCUGCUUAGGUAUGAAAUUUCUCCAUGAAAUUCCUGCAGUAAUUCCAUAGAUACUUGAUUAGCUAGAAGGUACUUCUUAGAAAGGCAUUUGAGUGUGAUUUAAAGUCUGCAGAUCAUCACAAACUCCACUAUAUUUUUAAUAAGUACUUUAAGGUUAAGCAGUUAAUUAGUCAAGUUGAAAGUGGUUAAGGGUUAAUUACAUUAAUUUCAUAAUUCUUUAAAAAUGUCUUCUUUCUGAUCUUUAUUUCACCUCAGAAGUAAAUUAUCAUGUGUUUAUUCUCGAAGUUUUUUCUAAAAACUGUGGAUUUCAAAAGAGGCUAUUUCUAGGUGACUAGAAAUAGAUUGUUUAAACAAGAAAUAGAGGACUUCAAUGUGCUAAAGUUCAAACAUACAUUAUUGUACAUCAUAAAAAUAUGCCUGUUGCUAAUUCUAGAUACUGUAAAAUAUGGUGAAAUACUGAUUAGUAAGUUGCCCGUACACCUACAUAAGCCUAUAAUGCCCUAUAAUCAACACAUCUCAAGACACCAAAUGGAUCAAUCACUUUAGUCCUCACCAUAAGCAAAUUCUUCUGAUUCACCAGCCUUGAACACUGAGAAAAUCUAUCACAGUCUGACAUAACUUGAUGUACCCUGGGAUGUGUUUCUUUCAAAAUAUGUUCUACAUACUUAAUAAACAAUGUACAAAGUCAACAGUAGAGAUUCAGCAGUGCAUUUCCAUUACAGCACAAAACAAGAAGCAAGGGAAAGGCUGUGUGGGAGGUGUAAAUAAUGAGUGGUGGAGAAUUAUACAGUACUGGAAGAUUGAUCUGAACCUGUUAACUCUUUCUUUCAAACUUCUUCAUAUUUUGUUUUUGUGGGGUUUUUCCUCUUCCUACAAAGAAUGUGUUACAGUAGUCCUGAUUUUUUUUUUGUUUGCCACUUUUUUUUUAACACCAGUAUUUUUUACUUCUUUGGCCUUUUCAUUUCAGCAUCUUUUUAGUGGUGUUUAGCAUACACAUCUAAAUGAACAGCUGGAAUCUAUUUACAAGUGGCAUACUCUCCUCCAUUGCAUCAAGCAACGAAUCACUGGCUCCCUCAUGAGUAGUUAUUGGGCUGAGUUUCAUCAAUGGUGUAAAUAUGUUAUUUGCCUGUGUGACUGCUUACCAGUGACAGCAACCUGUUCUAGAUAAGCCUGCUGUAAAGAUCAAUGAAUCAGGAGCAGAGCCAAGAGAAUUUAGCUUGAGUCCUGGCAGACCAACAAGAAAUAAUUCAAAAAGCACUGACUCACUUUUACCUGAGUCAAACAAAGUUUUUCUUGCCAUAGGCUUGAAAAAGACAAUCAAUAUAUCUGGUUUUGCGAGAAAGAGGAACUACCUGCAUAGCGACUUCUCACCAAGUUUCAUGCAGAAAUCCCAAAUUAUCUGGGCUGGAAAGCAGCAAGUGGAUACAAUCAUGUUGAAAAUAAGAUGGUAGUUUGGAAGCUUGAGUAUCACUAUCAGCUUGGAGCAGUGAAGAUGGCUGAUGGUAGUUUCUUCACUUCAGGUCAAUUUUUAAGUAAAGCUCAAAUAUUUUUCCUCAGUUCAAGCUGGAAUCAUUCGUAGUUCCACAUCUCUAAUCUGAUGUCAGACUUGGCCACUACUAAUGGUCUUAUACGGAUGUGUGCUUUAUGAACAUGUUCUCUACUGGUAUUGUCCUGAUAUUACUGUCCCCUGAAUAAAAAAACACCACAUUUUUUCAUCUUUCUGGUGAAAUAUAAGUUUAUGUUCACCAAGAUUAAAGCAGUGAUCAGAAAAAGGAAUGAAAUAUAUAUAAUUAUUAUGCAUGAUUUUAAUAACAUUCCCAGACCCAUUCAGACAAAUCAUGCUUGGCUUCACAAUUCAAUGUGCUCUUUGCAAAGGAGAAGUGUUCUUGGAUGACCCUUCCAACACAUGAAGACAAAAAGGAGCUUUUUGCUGGGAUCCUUAUGAUGAGCUGUGACCAACCAGACUGAAUGAAGGUCUAAAAACAGAAGUGCCAGUAACAGAGUGUACCCUGACUGAGGGUCAGUGGCCAUCAUCUCAUCAGUUUGUACACUGUCCUGCUAGACCCCUGUGCAAAAGGCUCAUCUGCUUUCCUCUUGGAUGUAAUCAUUACUAUUUGCCUUUUAUAGAUGCCACACUGUCCAUAAUUUCAGUGGGGAAAUGAUGCCUUAAAUUUUAGCUUUCAUAUUUUUCAGAUUCACUCCUGCCUUGGUGUGUAGCUCUGAGCUUUACAUUAAGUGUUAGUAAGCUCUCUUCACCGGGUAGUUAGACAAAACAAAUCCUUUUCUAGCUUGGGAACCAAUGACAACCAUUACAAACUUCAAGCCCAAAAAAGCAUAAACAGUGGACUGAAGAGAGCAAACAAGGAGGAUGGAACUUCAAAACCUGAAGCUGUAAUUGGACAAUUAACCCCAAUAUGUAAAUGGACCAAAACUUACAAAAGUGUGAAAACUCCUGACCAGUCAUCCAUUUUUGUGAUCAUUUCGGGUCCAUCUUGGGUGUAGCCCUGGAUGUAUCCUUUAAGGCAUUUUAAUAAAUAACCUACUUUAUUCUUUAACUCUGCCUAGUCUCUGUUCUAGGUCAGGCUCUCAAGGCAUCACAUGUACUGUGGAAAAAAUCAUGGAUACCUUUGCAAGAUCUCACACAGGAGAAAAUGGUAUGAUAUGUAGGACUGGAAUAGUAAAAGCAGGAGAAGAAAGAGAAACAGUAGGAGAAAAACAUUCAGUUCCUAGCAGUCUAAGUUAGUAAAAGCACCAAUUUGUCUGGGUUUUGGUGCCACUUAAUAUCAAUAUUAAAAUUUCCAAUGAAAUGCUAAUAUUUCCCUUCCAUCUCUUCUUAGCAUAUCCCCCUCAGUAAAUCAAGUUUUGUUAGUAGCAAAUAUGAUUUGAACAGAAGCUCUCAGAGACAGAAUUUAUACAGAGUAGAGUUGACUCAAUUUCUCAGUAAUGGAGAUGAAAAAGCACUCCACUGUCUUUUUGAAACAUGAUAAUGAUGCUUCCUUGUCUUUCCCCUGCAUAAAAGCAUUUAUAGCUAUAAAUACUGGGAACUUGUAAUGGAAGCAGGAUAAAAAGUUUCUUGAAAGAUUUCUUUAUGGAACACAGGAGAACACAGGGAUUUCUUUCUUUUAGGGGGCCUGAGUACAAAUCCACAGUUCAUACUUUAAAAUGGUGCUUACCACCCACUCAAACUGUGCUUGUUCAAAGCAAUGAGUACCCCAAAUAAUACAACUUCCUACUUUCUCUGAGCAAUUUCUUCUGGUGUAAAGAGGAAGUUGCAGGCAUCCUAAGAGACAAGUUCAGCACAAGUCAGGUGUGUUUCCUUGUGGGAAAGGCCAACCAGUCACAGGACUGCCUUACUGUCAAGGGAAGAGAUUUUUUCCAUUCUGUUCAGCACUUGUGAGAGAAUUAAGAAAAUUAUGAUUAGACACUAGGAAAAAUAAAUUCCUAAUGGAAUGAUAGUGGUCAAAUGUGAGGAGAGUGGCCUAGAAGAUACUGGGGUGACUGAGCAGUUGUGGAACAGCAGAGGCAGUGUUUAAUGACACCCUGCUAGAAGUUCCCCAUUCACAGCCUUGCACCUUGCAGGCUUUCACAGAGUAGCUGGGCACAUUUUUAUCUCCAAAGCUGAAAAUUAGUGGUGUAAUUAGUGAUGUCAUCAUAGGGGUUUGUUGACUCAAUUCAAAACUGUGGGACAAGUGGAAUCUUGCCCGACACUUGCCUUGUAGAGGUCUUUUCUUCAGAAGGAACUUUUUUGAUGCAUUGUCUUUUGCUUUUCCUUCCUAUUUUCCCUCCAAAAAAUCAAUGCAAAGUUUCAUGAUGUUCCAUCAGAUCAGUAGAAUAAAGGAAGCAUGUGGAGAUAUUCAUGAAUCUUUAUACAACUGAAAUACGUUUUUUCCCACCUUGAUGGAGUAAAACCCAGUGAGAAAGGCUGCUGAGCCCUCUUUCCUCUUUUCACCUCUUUAUAGGGAAAAGUCAGAACUGGUGCUCACACUGUUUGCCUAGAGAUCAGCUCCCAUGCCCAGCCUCCCUUCUAAUUUGCUUGCCAUUUCUGCACUGUGCCACCACAGUGAUGGGGGUUCUUGGCUUCCAUAGGGCUCGCAUCCAUCUUUAUUCUGAUCUGCUAAAAGCUGACCCAGAGAUGAAAUAACCAUUAAGAUGCCAUCGACCCCACCUUAGGAAUUCACUUAAAUGCUGUGAAUAAAGAUAUAGAUUUUAUUGUCAGACUGCACAAACAGGGCCCUCACCGAGAUAUUGGAAUUGAUGCUGGCCGAAUCUGAAGUGGCUGGAGAAAUAAGGAAAUGUGGAAAGCAUCUGGUGUUUGUUUCAGAGAUGUGAGAGGAGACCACAGUGAUAAAUCAUGUGUUGAAACGAAAGAGAGUUAACGAAAGCCAGCAGAUUUGCUCUGAUUUGUCUUCCACAGGAAGAUAUUGAUCUGUGAUUCUUAAGGGGCCCAGAGGGUCUUUCAUUUUAUUCUUUAUCUCCACCCUAGGAGCUCAGUCCUGAGGGACAUAUUUUAUGUGGGAUAGAUAUACAUAAAAGGAAAGGUGGGGAAACACUGUGUGCAAUAAAUUAAAAAAAUAAAGAGGAGAGUAUGGAUAAAAGAUAACCUGUUAAAGUUGAAAUCAUCAAGAAGAGUAUGUAAGACUGUCAUGGGUUGGCACAGUUUGGUUCUUAGUUAGGGAGGAAUGUAGAGUGUUUUUACCCUGUCAGGACCUUGAAAUUGUUUCAGAAAGGACAAGGACCUAUCAGAAGCUAGGCUGGGAUAUUGCCAUCUGCUUUGACCACAGAGAAUGUUGAAUGCGACUUUGGGCAGUACCCAUAUAAAUCCUGAUUUUGUUCAGGUCAGGCCCUUUUCCUCCUGGCCAGCUGAACAGGUAACACUGAGUUGGGGCCCGCUGUUCCCCCGCUCCCCUUUGGGGGUGAAGCCAGCCCUGAGGCCUGGCCGGGCUCCAUCGGCUCCCGGUGGGGGAGGAGAGGUUGCAGCUUAACAUCAACUACUUUAAAAACCUCCCCGGAGCCCAGAGCCUUGGAGCAGGGAAGGAUCUCUGCCGGGCCCCUGAUAACAGCUAUGGGCCCGGUAGGGCUGAGGCUGCCCCGAUUGUCACCGAGGGGUGGGCAGAGCUCUCCUCCCCUCUCCUCCUCCGGUGAUUCCCAGGAGAAGAAAAGAGUAGAGGGAGGAAACCCUGGCUGAUGAUCUGAGAUGCGGCGGAGAGACUGCUGCUUGGGGCAGAAAUCACAUGGCCUCUGUAGGCCUGGGCAGAUUUAAUCAUUUCCUGGCAACGUGAAGCUUCCAAGGCCUAACCUUUCCCUGAGAGAGAAAAGAAAGAGACAGAGUGCAUGUAGAAAAGUCACUGCAUUAAGUCAGUGGAGCAAGAGUGAAAGAACUGAUAAAGAAAGAGGGAUUGAGGAUGUGGACAUUUUUAACUGGACUUCUCUGCGGUAAACUAUGGAGAAAUGGACUGUUUCUUGUAACAUCUUAAUGUUGUUUGGGGGAAUGCUGGUUCUAAUCAAAGGUGGGAAUUGACAGGAUUGAGAUUUAAGUGAGAAUCUUAAAGCCUCUCACUCCCAGGGUAAAAGGAAGUCUCAGUCUUUGAGGCAAAGAUGAUUUUAGAGAGAAAGUGAUUUGAAGCCCUCAGCUCCUGGGGUAAAAGGAGGUCUCUAUUUCUUAUGAGAUAGAGACAAUUUUAGAGAUAGAAGAAAAGAAUCUUUAUUUUGUACUAGAGGAAGCAUUCUUAAAGAGUACCCCAGAUACACUGAGAGACCCAUGAGUAGUAAGGGGAAAGGCUGCUAAUAGAUGAGACUGCACAAUCUGCAAAAAUUCCAGGUGGUUGCAGAUUUGUGACAUUGGGAGCCACCAGACUGUUUUUGUCUUGUGGUGAAUGUCUCCAUAGGACUUUAGAGAGAUUCCUCUCCUAAAGUGAUGAAAGAUUAUGUUCAAAUGGUGAAACUGACUGAAAAUCACAGGUUUUGUCUAUGUUGUUUUGUAGGAAAGUUAACAGUUUGUAGGAAGAGGGAAGAGUGUUUUGAAUUUUCAUUUUGUUUUGUUUUGUUGGGUUUUUUUUUUCCAAAUUUCCAUUCUUUUAGUAUGUGUUAAUAAAGCUAUUUGUUUAUUUUUAAGCUUAA